UGGACCUGCGGAAGGAUCAUUA
RNAcentral lists this ribosomal RNA (22 nucleotides) under Lodderomyces parapsilosis. RNAcentral describes it as "Candida parapsilosis partial 18S ribosomal RNA". The record is from RNAcentral. RNAcentral also lists the same sequence under 1 other name. Lineage: Eukaryota; Fungi; Ascomycota; Pichiomycetes; Serinales; Debaryomycetaceae.